RNAcentral lists this ribosomal RNA (433 nucleotides) under uncultured bacterium. RNAcentral's name for it is "bacterial SSU rRNA". It matches the Rfam family "Bacterial small subunit ribosomal RNA", at positions 958 to 1392 of the family's 1533-position model. The record is from RNAcentral.
AACGCGAAGAACCUUACCCAGGCUUGACAUGCAGAGGACAGUGUCAGAAAUGACAUCUCCCUUCGGGGCCUCUGCACAGGUGCUGCAUGGCUGUCGUCAGCUCGUGCCGUGAGGUGUUGGGUUAAGUCCCACAACGAGCGCAACCCUUAUCGUUAGUUGCCAACACGUAAUGGUGGGAACUCUAACGAGACUGCCUGGGUUAACCAGGAGGAAGGUGAGGAUGACGUCAAGUCCGCAUGGCCCUUAUGUCUGGGGCUACACACGUGCUCCAAUGGUCGGCACACAGGGCAGCGAACCCGCGAGGUGGAGCAAAUCCAUCACCCCGCCCCCCGUUCAGACUGCAGUCUGCAACUCGACUACACGAAGCGCCAAUUGCUAGUAAUGGGGUCUCAGCCACAGCGCCGCGAAUCCUUCCCCGGGUCUUUCUACACCG